This 253-nucleotide ribosomal RNA is filed under the name uncultured bacterium. Its description in RNAcentral is "partial 16S ribosomal RNA". It matches the Rfam family "Bacterial small subunit ribosomal RNA", at positions 524 to 776 of the family's 1533-position model. The record is from RNAcentral.
UACGUAGGGUGCAAGCGUUGUCCGGAAUUAUUGGGCGUAAAGAGCUCGUAGGCGGUCUGUCGCGUCGAAUGUGAAAACCCGGGGCUCAACCCCGGGCCUGCAUUCGAUACGGGCAGACUAGAGUUCGGUAGGGGAGUCUGGAAUUCCUGGUGUAGCGGUGAAAUGCGCAGAUAUCAGGAGGAACACCAGUGGCGAAAGCGGCCACCUGGACUGUACCUGACGCUGAAACGCGAAAGCUAGGGGAGCGAACGGG